This 253-nucleotide ribosomal RNA is filed under the name uncultured bacterium. RNAcentral's name for it is "partial 16S ribosomal RNA". It matches the Rfam family "Bacterial small subunit ribosomal RNA", at positions 524 to 776 of the family's 1533-position model. The record is from RNAcentral.
UACGUAGGGUGCAAGCGUUGUCCGGAAUUAUUGGGCGUAAAGAGCUCGUAGGUGGCUUGUCACGUCGGGUGUGAAAUCCCGGGGCUUAACCCCGGGUCUGCAUUCGAUACGGGCUGGCUAGGGUCCUUCAGGGGAGACUGGAAUUCCUGGUGUAGCGGUGAAAUGCGCAGAUAUCAGGAGGAACACCGGUGGCGAAGGCGGGUCUCUGGGAAGGUACCGACGCUGAGGAGCGAAAGUGUGGGGAGCGAACAGG